This 787-nucleotide long non-coding RNA is filed under the name Mus musculus (house mouse). Its description in RNAcentral is "predicted gene 4657". The record is from RNAcentral. Lineage: Eukaryota; Metazoa; Chordata; Mammalia; Rodentia; Muridae.
ACAAUAUCUGCAGAAAGACACUUCCAGAUGCCAUUCAUGGUGCUGAUGACAGGGUAGCAAGAAAGUAGAGUCUACCCACAAGGAACUUGCGCUCCAGUGUGGAAAUAUGGAUUCGCCUCAGUGGAUGAGUGAACACAGUUCAGGUGAUCCUCUUACCCCAGCUUCUUUAGAUAAGGAUUAUCGGCAUGAAUCACCAUACCUGGUAGAGAUUGAGACUUUAAAUGAUUUCAAACUGAUUUGUCAGAAGACAGAUUGUGAAAUUCUGGCAGAAAAUUGGCUGCACAGCAAGCUGGUAGGCAGCAUUCUUUCAUGGUCUCUGCUUCAGAUCUUGCCUUUGGGUCCCUGCCUUGAUUUCCUGUGAUGAUGGACUUACAAAGCAUAAUGUGAAGUGCUGUCCCUACCCUGCCCUUCCUUAGAGUUGGCUGAUUGCUCUGGCCUAUGGUGGAACCAGGUUUACCAGGAAGACCAUGGCUGAGUGGACUCCCUUGUGCGCAGUGGGGGCCUGAGCUAUUGACUAGGUAAUAAGUACAAUGGACCCACCAAGCCAUAGCUGAAGCACUCAACUCCUGUGCUCAAAGGAGGCCUCCCAAAGCUCAGAGCGUGCUCCAGGCUUCCCUCAAGAGAAACCCAAGGAGAAAAGUUCACAGAACAUGGGAGAAGACCAUCAGAAGAAAGGAUUAGGAUGUCCCAGAGAGAGAACAUUUACACCAAGAAGAUCAGCUGAAAACAUGCUUCAGCAGAGGUGUACUGAAAAUUCUCAGAAUAAAAGAAAGAGACAGAAUCCAUU